UGUGCCUCUGUCUGUCUGCCCUCUGUCUGUGUCAUUCCGACGCUGUCCACAGAGAUCUACAGCUCUCCCUGUGGUAUGGGCCAAUGUGAGCAACCUCAGAUGGACAGACUGGUCCCAUACACAAGAGAGCCAUGAGAGGAGACGAGCAAACCCAGGCAAAGAAACCAGUGCUGAUGAGCCUUGCGCAUGCCAAGUCUGUAACCGAUGGCCUACUGGAGAUUGAAGACAUCGUUUUACCCCUAAAGUUACAAUUUGAAGAGGAAUGUCCUGGUCUGCCCGGUCGAGCAGAACUACAUCGAAACCAGAGCAACAGUAUCAGUUCAUGUGCCGACUAUCUAACGAUACUGAAAGGCCACGGCGAGAACAGAU
Molecule: long non-coding RNA, 369 nt
Organism: Alosa sapidissima (American shad)
Lineage: Eukaryota; Metazoa; Chordata; Actinopteri; Clupeiformes; Clupeidae
Exons: 3
Source: RefSeq, a predicted model, not a curated record